Molecule: long non-coding RNA, 1327 nt
Filed under: Mus musculus (house mouse)
Lineage: Eukaryota; Metazoa; Chordata; Mammalia; Rodentia; Muridae
Description: long non-coding RNA chr4:133083860-133085187
Source: RNAcentral
CAGUGCUUUGGACAUGAGAGACUUGCCUUCAUGACUGUGUUCUAGCCCACUGUCCAGAUGUGACAUAACAGAAUGUUAUGGUACAGAAGCAGGCAGAUCUUUCUGUGAGUUCAAAGCCAGCCUCAGCCUGGUCUUUAUUCUGAGCUCCAGGCCAGCCAGUGCAAUGACCCUGUCACAAAACAAACAGAUGUGAUAAAGGGACUCUUACAUUGUGUGCCUGAGUUUAAGCAAUGGCUAUGUGGUGUAUGUAUGUGAAGGUGUGUUUAAUCUGAACCCUGUAAAAAUGUGGACAGUGGGGAGGGGCUGACAGGGAAGGGCUGUGCAUAAGAACGAGAGAGAGAGAGAGAGAGAGAGAGAGAGAGAGAGAGAGAGAGAGAGAGAGAGAGAGAGAGAGAGCCCUGUUUCAGUCAGAGCCAGGAGAGCUAUGCUUUGGGUAUGUGGGGGAGGCACAGCUGGGGCUGGAACUGGAGAGUGGGAGGGAGGGAGGGAGGCUGGGGAGCCACAUCCUUGAUCUCUGUUCUGUUUCAGUAAUUCUGGACUUGGUGCUCUGGGUCUCUGUGUGACUCUGGGUGUCCCUCUCUGUAAUGUCAGGAUCUUGGCAUCUGUUUCUCUUCUGGGUCUUGGGUUAGGAGGCUGAUCAUGUGACUCUGGGUCUCCACCUCUCCAGCCUACUUGGCUCAGUGUCCCUCUCUAUGUCUCUGUCUCUGCCUCCAUGUCUGCCUCUGUCCUUCCUUGUCCUUGCCAGGAGGGGGGAGGGGCCCGGGACUCAGAGAGCAGGUGUGGGCUCACUCAGGCAGCAGGGAGUGAAGCCCAGGAGGGCCAAGAGCCAGCAGCCCUGGACAGGAGCACACUCCAAGAUACACACCUUCCAAGUGCUCACAGGAACACACAAUGAACUGUAAGUACAAGGAUGAUUCCUGGGGACUUUUCACAGGAACACACACAGGUACAAAACUAAACGCACAGCACAGUCACUCCCAGAAGCACAUAAGGAUGCCAGACACUGGCUCACACAGACAUGCUUCAUGAAAAAGCCUCAGUCAAAUCCUCAUCUAGACACAGAGAAAACCCUAGAGCCACAAAUAUGCACAGGGACACAGACCUUGAGGCACACAGACACAAAGGUAGCAGAUGCAGGCACACAGGUCCGCUCAGCACACUCAAAAAAUCACACCCAGGAAUCAGGAGGGAGAAGCACACAGAAGCAUAAACCCUCAAGGGCAGUCAGAGACAGAGGCACACGGAGGCACCCACAAGGGACUUUGGCAGAACAGCCUCAGGUACACACUCCUCCCUCAGGGCUCACUUGGAGACACGCCCAUAGGUG